AUCUGGAGGUGGGGCAUGCUUUAGAGACAGGAAACUGAACACAUCCUGAAAUGAAAGGGAGUGUGAGCCUUCUAGGAAGUGAGAGAAAUUCAGUGGGUCCAGAAGGAAGUUAUAAGUGUUGGGGCUGGAGAGCUUGGAGUGCCCUCAGUUCUAAGAUCCAAACGUGUCUGGAAUUGGUGGGUUCUUGGUCUCACUGACUUCAAGAAUGAAGCCACAGACUCUCGCGCAACUCAAGCAUCCCAACCUUGUUAACCUCCUGGAAGUCUUCAGGAGGAAACGGAGGCUUCACCUGGUGUUUGAAUAUUGUGACCACACAGUUCUCCAUGAGUUGGACAGAUACCAAAGAGGGGUACCAGAACAUCUCGUGAAGAGCAUAACUUGGCAGACACUGCAAGCUGUAAAUUUUUGCCAUAAACACAAUUGCAUACAUAGAGACGUGAAGCCAGAAAAUAUCCUCAUCACGAAACAUUCCGUGAUUAAGCUUUGUGACUUUGGAUUUGCUCGGCUUUUGACUGGACCGAGUGACUACUAUACAGACUACGUGGCUACCAGGUGGUACCGCUCCCCUGAGCU
RNAcentral lists this long non-coding RNA (573 nucleotides) under Homo sapiens (human). RNAcentral's name for it is "non-protein coding lnc-L2HGDH-1:1". The record is from RNAcentral. Lineage: Eukaryota; Metazoa; Chordata; Mammalia; Primates; Hominidae.